UACGUAGGGUGCAAGCGUUAAUCGGAAUUACUGGGCGUAAAGCGUGCGCAGGCGGUGAUGUAAGACAGUUGUGAAAUCCCCGGGCUCAACCUGGGAACUGCAUCUGUGACUGCAUCGCUGGAGUGCGGCAGAGGGGGAUGGAAUUCCGCGUGUAGCAGUGAAAUGCGUAGAUAUGCGGAGGAACACCGAUGGCGAAGGCAGCCCCCUGGGCCAAAACUGACGCUCAGGCACGGAAGCGUGGGGAGCAAACAGG
RNAcentral lists this ribosomal RNA (253 nucleotides) under uncultured bacterium. Its description in RNAcentral is "partial 16S ribosomal RNA". It matches the Rfam family "Bacterial small subunit ribosomal RNA", at positions 524 to 776 of the family's 1533-position model. The record is from RNAcentral.